Molecule: transfer RNA, 75 nt
Filed under: bacterium
Lineage: Bacteria
Also listed under: 1 other name
Description: tRNA-Glu
Rfam family: tRNA
About the family: Transfer RNA (tRNA) molecules are approximately 80 nucleotides in length.
Source: RNAcentral
GGCCUUAUCGUAUAGUGGUUAGUACUCCAGGUUUUCAUCCUGGCAACAGGGGUUCGAUUCCCCUUAAGGCUACCA